Nicotiana tabacum (common tobacco) is the source of this 1954-nucleotide non-coding RNA. Lineage: Eukaryota; Viridiplantae; Streptophyta; Magnoliopsida; Solanales; Solanaceae. The record is from RefSeq and is a predicted model, not a curated record.
UCAAUACGGCGGGUCAAUGAAACCGCCGUAAUAAGCACUCUACUAGCGCAAAUUUUAAGUCGCCAUAUUAUGCAACCGUAAAAUGGCGGUUUAUCGUAUAUUACGGCGGACAAACUUAAAAUAAGCGUCACUCGAAGUCUCACCAAUUAGAACUUCCCCCAAAUAAAUCCUAUUCUUUGCAGUUUUCCCUCUCCCUUGCCGGUGUUUCAUCAGAUCCCUGUAGCCGGCGAUUCUCUCUUCUCUCCUCUUCUAUUCUCGCCGAGGCAGUCGAUUCGAACGCGAGAAGGAGGCUAUCGAUUCGAACACGAUGAAGCUCGUAUGGAGUUUGCUUAUCUCCGCAGCGGCUUCAGUUAUCUCAACUCCCAACUUCAAACGAAGUUCAGCUAGGAGAAUUGAGGGAUGAGUAUCUACAAAAAAACUUAUGGAAAAUCACAGAAGUUAUUAGCAUCAGUUGCUCAGACUCUAUCAGUAGGAUCAAAUAAUAUUGAGCAAGUUAAUUCUGAUUCUCUCUCGAGUUCCAUUGAGGAAGCACAUCAAAUUGAAGCUGUGGAUAUGAAUUUGGUACUGCCUUGGGUCAAGAGGUUAUACAGGGGCAUACAAUAUUCUAAUGUUGAUGCUGAAAGUCCAUGUAAAAGAAAAGCUUUACUCCAUAUCAGCCAAAAAGUACAUUGAUACAAGCACAACUAUUCUGGAUGUGCAAGGAGUAUGGUAUGUUGGCUAACUACUGGUCCUUAGAGUGUGACUGAUCCAGUUGUUAUUUCCGUUGAUCUUUGGUGACUUUGGAGAGACCGGCAAAGGAAUAUAUGUUUGUCUUAUUGCUAGUUUAUAUUCAUCACUAGCAUAAACUAUACGAAUCAUGGUGCAGGAAUGAAGAACUUCAACAAAUCAGCAAGAAAAUUCAUUGAAUGCUUCCAAACUAUCGAUGGUAACAAUUUUCCUUAGGUAAUUUCUUCUCUCUCAACUAGCUCAAGCCAUGGCUAGCUCUCUUCUUUCUCUAAUUAGGGGAGUAGGGAUGACGUGAUGCUCACAGACUGUUCGAUAAUAUGCGUCACUGAAAAAAUCAAUUGUUGAAAAUGGUGUUAUCUAAUAUUUGAAAAUGGUGUUACAUGUUGAUAAUUAGUCUCAAUAUUGAUUAAUUGUUAAGUGAUAUCAGUUUGGGGAUUGAUUGCGAAGCGGAUCAUAAUGGCUUUCUCUUUUCAGUUACCGAUUUGCGGAUAAUCUUUUAAUUGAUAUGGGGUGUACUUGAGUGAUUAUUCUCCCGAUUAUUAAUUUUUUAGCUGUAAACUAGGGACGCCAUAAAUCUUGUGUGGAACUGUGGACGAGAACAUGUUGUACGAAUGGAAAUUGAGUGUUAAUUGAAGCUUAGAUAAUGCUGCCUGCUUAUGCAGCUCGGGCAUUGCGAAUGGAGCAAGGCUGCACAGUGUGCAUAUGUUUCUACUACAUCACCUUUCUCCUAUUUUGAUUUGAUUGUUUAUUGAAGUCUGUGAUUUUCAUGUGUUAUUGAAUCUUCUCCCGAGGGAUUUAACAUGCUGAGGCGUAUGUAUGAAAAUGUCCAAGAGCCACUCCUAAAUGCAACAACAUUGUCUGGAUAUACGAGAAACGAUGUGGGGUCUAACCAGUUUGCAGCUCUUUUGGGAGCACAAGGUGGUGGGCAAGGCAGACACCAGUCAAAUAAUCCUCCAACUUCCGGUUCUGAGACAACUAAUAAUUCGCCUGCUUCUAAUACUAAUCCACUUCCUAAUCCUUGGGCAUCUGUAGGCAGUUGCGCCGCGACUCCUAGAAGCCCGAAAAGAUCACUCGAUGGAAAUCACUAUGCGGAUCAUGAGUAUUCAUUGAAUGUAUCUCUAGGAUUUAUUACUGUUUUUUCCCUUAUGUUGAAUUGAUGUAAAAUAUUACUCCAUGUAUUUUAAUGCAUUUGAUGGUGUAAUUCUGAAGUGCGUAUGGUUUUUAUGUA